AUGGGGUGUGAUUUUAUCACACUGAGAGUUGAGGUGGAAUCCUCUCCUGAGACAAUAGAAGAUGCUGCUGUCAGAGGAAAGAAUGAAAACAGUGCCGGAACGCCAGAGUCCAAAAUGGUGAGGGGAAGUGAAAAUGAGGAGAAGUGUAGAGCAGACACUUUAAUGUUUUUAAAAUGUGAGAGCACCAGUGAAAAGGGCAAGCCCCAACAGAAAGUUGAAAUAGAAUCAAAAGCUGCCAAACGAGUUGGGGAGGGACUGGGAUUGGGGUUGCCCUCGCCCCGAGGCCCUGGCCUCAGUCUGCCCCCUCCAAUUGGCGGUGCCGGCCCCCCGCCGGGGCUUCCCAAGCCAAAGAAGAGGAAAGAGCCCGUGAAGAUCGCGGCGCCGGAGUUGCAUAAGGGAGAUUCAGAUUCUGAGGAAGAUGAACCCACAAAGAAGAAAACUAUCCUUCAGGUUGCUCCUGCCCCAUGCCUUCUCCCGCAAACCCUCGGAUGGCUCCCCUGAUACUAAGCCCUCCAGACUGGCUUCUAAGACCAAUACUUCCUCUCUUGCCCCUGUUGUGGGCACCACAACCACCACUCCGUCGCCCUCUGCUAUCAAGGCUGCUGCCAAGAGUGCUGCCCUGCAGGUGACAAAGCAGAUCACGCAGGAGGAAGACGACAGUGAUGAGGAAGUAGCCCCCGAAAACUUUUUCUCCCUCCCUGAAAAGGCCGAGCCACCUGGAGUUGAGCCAUACCCUUACCCCAUCCCCACUGUCCCUGAAGAGCUGCCUCCAGGCACGGAACCAGAGCCGGCUUUCCAGGACGAUGCAGCCAAUGCCCCCCUUGAAUUCAAGAUGGCAGCAGGCUCAAGUGGGGCCCCUUGGAUGCCUAAGCCUGGGGAUGACUACAGCUACAAUCAGUUUUCCACAUAUGGCGAUGCCAAUGCUGCUGGUGCUUAUUAUCAGGAUUAUUACAGUGGUGGCCACUAUCCUGCACAGGACCUGGCCCUGGUCCCACACCCCAGGAAAUUGCCCCAGAUGCCUCCUUCAUCGAUGACGAAGCAUUUAAGCGGAUGCAGGGCAAGAGAAACCGAGGGAGAGAAGAAAUCAACUUUGUGGAGAUUAAAGGUGAUGACCAGCUCAGUGGGGCCCAGCAAUGGAUGACUAAGUCAUUGACAGAAGAGAAAACCAUGAAGUCAUUCAGCAAAAAGAAAGGUGAGCAGCCAACAGGCCAGCAGCGGCGGAAACACCAGAUCACACAUCUUAUUCAUCAGGCCAAGGAGCGGGAGCUGGAACUGAAGAACACUUGGUCGGAGAACAAGCUCAGCCGCCGUCAGACCCAAGCCAAAUAUGGAUUCUAGGGCUCUGGAACUGAUGGCUCCCAGGAUCUCCUGCCAGCCCAGCUGGCCUGGCCCCCAGCUUCACCUCUGGGACCCCAGCAGCUGCUCUAAGCCCAGGAUCUCUUUCCCCAAGGACCCAGCCCUCGCCUCUGCGAGAAUGAACAUAUUUGAUAGAUUUUUCUUAACAAGUUAGAAAAUUCAGCUCCUGUCUGUCCUGGAGCUAGCAAAGACUUGUGUGAUGCCUCUGAAGGGGCUCUGAGUUCUGGAAUGGGAGUUUUGCUCCCUGUCAGGUGUGAUGAAAUGUUGAACCCUCCCCACCACCACUUUUUUUUUUUUUUUUAAACCAGGGAUGUCUGUUGAAAUAAAACAUUCAGUCUGACAAAAAAAAAAAAAAAAA
Macaca mulatta (Rhesus monkey) is the source of this 1714-nucleotide non-coding RNA. The record is from RefSeq and is a predicted model, not a curated record. Lineage: Eukaryota; Metazoa; Chordata; Mammalia; Primates; Cercopithecidae.